Long non-coding RNA from Brassica napus (rape), 1568 nucleotides. RefSeq lists it as uncharacterized. The transcript is spliced from 2 exons. The record is from RefSeq and is a predicted model, not a curated record. NCBI's taxonomy places the organism in Eukaryota, Viridiplantae, Streptophyta, Magnoliopsida, Brassicales, Brassicaceae.
UAAUAUAUAUUAUAUAAUAGGAGAGUUUCUCUCCUCCUGAUGCGACACGUCAGCGGUCUGUGGGUCCCACUUUUUAAAAGUGUGAAAAAAUGUCAAAUAUGUGGUUCGAACCCGGGUUAUUAAGAUAUAAGCACCCACAACUAUACCAUUGCACUAAAGGAUACUUUGUACAUUGAUGGUCGAAACUAAUAUAUAUUAUAAAGGUCGGAAACUAAUAUUACAUUGUUGACCCCACUUCUUUUUUUUUCUAAUUGAUGGGUAACAAAUGUAUUUCGACAAAAAGUGGGCUUUGGGCUUAUUGAUUUUCUGUUUAUUAGGCUUUGUAUCUGCUCAAAGUGGUGAUACGGACAAAGCUAAGAAGAUUAGGGAAGCCGCCAUCUUCACCAUCUCCUUCGUCGCUUGCGAUUUCCCUUCCGGCAAUCAGCAAUUAUGGUCGAUCUUUAAGGCUCUACGCACGUUUUGCGCCUACCAAACGCUUAGUUUCUCCUCUAACGCCUUCAGAGCUCUUAUAUAUAUAGAAUCCCUCGAGGUAAAAGCUCCAUCUUGUCUCGAACUUUUCUUUCUCAGUUUUUCGAUCGCUUUACUUUCUCACAUCUGUCACGAAAAUGACUUAUCCAGCUGCUACAGCCGCUUCAGCCGCCGUUACCUACUCUACCUUCAACUCUCUCCGCCUUGGAAGGUCCACUCAGUCCAUUGUUAGUCGGCUCAUCCGAUUCUAGGAUUCCAGAAACAUUAGAACAAGAAUGGAGAGUUUAUGGGCAUCACCAUUCUCCUCCUUGAUGAACUGGUGAUGAUUGUUUCUAACUUAUUUUUUAUCACUUUAACUCUGCUUUGCUUAUUCUUUGUUCAUAUAUGAAACGUGUCUUUAUCUUUUUGUUUUGGUUUUGUCUAUGGGUUUUUUUAUGAACAACUAAUGAUUUUUCUCUGUUUUUCUUACAGGAUUCUGUGAUCUACGGUUUCAUCACUGCAAUCUCCAAACAAAACAGGAAAACUGAAUGAAUUAUGUUUUUAGCAACCGAAUCUAAAAGAAAUAAAAGACAUCUCACUUAACAAAUUAAAACCUUUUCUUUUGCAGAUUCCGACGACAACGAAGCACCCGAGGACCAACGACAAUGGAAUUAUGCGGAAGAAGCCUAACUGAUGGGGCAGAUCUCCUUAGAAGGGGAGCCACUCGCCACGAUGCUUCCAGUUUCACCAUUUUUGAAACUCUUAUGAACCACAAAGCCAAUAUAAGAGCUCUGUUUCAAUCCAACGGCUGGAUUUUCUCACAGACCACCGCUAAGCCUGAAGAGGGAAGAGAAGUGGAGUGCUGCGUUUUGGAAGAUGGUUACUUGGAGUUUACAAGAUGAAGAUGGAACCCGUGACGAGGAAGACGAGGAGAAGUGUUACUUGGAAUAUCCUAACGUUGAGGAUGUAGACAAUGUGUGAUCUUAGCGAUGAAGAUUAGUGUAGCUUUAAUAUAUGCUACUACGGUCCUUGAGCUCCCUAACAAGUACUAGCAAACAAUGUGUAUUUUGAAAAAAUAAAAUAAUUUUGUAAUGCAAGUAGUUUGAAACUUUGAGUAUUUA